RNAcentral lists this ribosomal RNA (972 nucleotides) under Triticum aestivum (bread wheat). RNAcentral describes it as "partial small subunit ribosomal RNA". The record is from RNAcentral. Lineage: Eukaryota; Viridiplantae; Streptophyta; Magnoliopsida; Poales; Poaceae.
AUGGAGAACAAGCCAAGCCAGCAUCUCAGUAACAAAUUCACAAUAACACCCACAAAUGGGUCUGGAUAUCUUGACAAUGAGACAAUAAAGCAGACCAUACUUGCACAAGAAGCUACAUUCCGGGAACAGGUCAUAGAACUUCAUCGUGUGUACAACGUGCAAAAGAACCUAAUGGGAUUAGAAUGCCAAAGAGGUGAAUUAAGUAAACAUUCUCAAGAGAAAAUGUAUUCAUCACCAUAUGGGGGUAUAAGAACAGUCCGACAAGUUGAGCCUCCUGCUGGACAUGAUAUGAAGAAACCAUCUAAAAAAUUCAAGAAGGGAAAAGAUUUAGUGUGUAGUUCAAACAGAGUUUCUAUGAGGCAUAGCAGUAGUAGUCCCACACAAGAAAAACUGGCCUUUCAGGUUUCAGAUGAUGCGCAUGCCAAUAAUAGUGAUGAUGAUGUGGUUAUACUCUCAGAGAAGCCUGCAAAUACUCCAGUAAGAAAUAAAGGUUCCUCUCCUGGUACAAAUGUGAAGGACCUUCAGGCUCCAGCUGAUGCACAUGACGAUGACAAUGAUGAUGAUGUGGUGAUACUAUUAGAGAAGCCUACAGAUAGGUGGCCAAUAACUAAUGGUUCAAUUCUUGGUACAAAUGCGAAGGACCUUCAGGUUCGAGCUGAUGCACAUGCAAAUGAUAAUGAUGAUGAUGUAGUGAUAUUGUCAGAGAAGCCUGCAAAAAGUUUGCCAAGAAAGCAUGGUUCAAUUCUUGGUACAAAUUUGAAUAACAUUCUGGUUCCAACCGGUGCACAUGUUUAUGAUUGUGAUGAUGAUGUGGUGAUACUAUUAGAGAAGUCUGCAGACAAUUUGCCAAGAAAUAAUGGUUCAAUUCUUGGUACAAAUGUUAAGCUUAACAGUGAGGGCUCCUCACGCAUGAAUAAGAAGUGGAUCAAUAGUUUACAACCAUCAGAACAAUGUUUUGAACAAAGAAGUUGA